This 1552-nucleotide ribosomal RNA is filed under the name Staphylococcus haemolyticus. Its description in RNAcentral is "bacterial SSU rRNA". It matches the Rfam family "Bacterial small subunit ribosomal RNA". Lineage: Bacteria; Bacillati; Bacillota; Bacilli; Caryophanales; Staphylococcaceae. The record is from RNAcentral.
UUUAUGGAGAGUUUGAUCCUGGCUCAGGAUGAACGCUGGCGGCGUGCCUAAUACAUGCAAGUCGAGCGAACAGACAAGGAGCUUGCUCCUUUGACGUUAGCGGCGGACGGGUGAGUAACACGUGGGUAACCUACCUAUAAGACUGGGAUAACUUCGGGAAACCGGAGCUAAUACCGGAUAAUAUUUCGAACCGCAUGGUUCGAUAGUGAAAGAUGGUUUUGCUAUCACUUAUAGAUGGACCCGCGCCGUAUUAGCUAGUUGGUAAGGUAACGGCUUACCAAGGCGACGAUACGUAGCCGACCUGAGAGGGUGAUCGGCCACACUGGAACUGAGACACGGUCCAGACUCCUACGGGAGGCAGCAGUAGGGAAUCUUCCGCAAUGGGCGAAAGCCUGACGGAGCAACGCCGCGUGAGUGAUGAAGGUCUUCGGAUCGUAAAACUCUGUUAUUAGGGAAGAACAUACGUGUAAGUAACUAUGCACGUCUUGACGGUACCUAAUCAGAAAGCCACGGCUAACUACGUGCCAGCAGCCGCGGUAAUACGUAGGUGGCAAGCGUUAUCCGGAAUUAUUGGGCGUAAAGCGCGCGUAGGCGGUUUUUUAAGUCUGAUGUGAAAGCCCACGGCUCAACCGUGGAGGGUCAUUGGAAACUGUAAAAUUGAGUGCAGAAGAGGAAAGUGGAAUUCCAUGUGUAGCGGUGAAAUGCGCAGAGAUAUGGAGGAACACCAGUGGCGAAGGCGACUUUCUGGUCUGUAACUGACGCUGAUGUGCGAAAGCGUGGGGAUCAAACAGGAUUAGAUACCCUGGUAGUCCACGCCGUAAACGAUGAGUGCUAAGUGUUAGGGGGUUUCCGCCCCUUAGUGCUGCAGCUAACGCAUUAAGCACUCCGCCUGGGGAGUACGACCGCAAGGUUGAAACUCAAAGGAAUUGACGGGGACCCGCACAAGCGGUGGAGCAUGUGGUUUAAUUCGAAGCAACGCGAAGAACCUUACCAAAUCUUGACAUCCUUUGACAACUCUAGAGAUAGAGCCUUCCCCUUCGGGGGACAAAGUGACAGGUGGUGCAUGGUUGUCGUCAGCUCGUGUCGUGAGAUGUUGGGUUAAGUCCCGCAACGAGCGCAACCCUUAAGCUUAGUUGCCAUCAUUAAGUUGGGCACUCUAAGUUGACUGCCGGUGACAAACCGGAGGAAGGUGGGGAUGACGUCAAAUCAUCAUGCCCCUUAUGAUUUGGGCUACACACGUGCUACAAUGGACAAUACAAAGGGCAGCGAAACCGCGAGGUCAAGCAAAUCCCAUAAAGUUGUUCUCAGUUCGGAUUGUAGUCUGCAACUCGACUACAUGAAGCUGGAAUCGCUAGUAAUCGUAGAUCAGCAUGCUACGGUGAAUACGUUCCCGGGUCUUGUACACACCGCCCGUCACACCACGAGAGUUUGUAACACCCGAAGCCGGUGGAGUAACCAUUUGGAGCUAGCCGUCGAAGGUGGGACAAAUGAUUGGGGUGAAGUCGUAACAAGGUAGCCGUAUCGGAAGGUGCGGCUGGAUCACCUCCUUUCU